RNAcentral lists this transfer RNA (423 nucleotides) under uncultured bacterium. RNAcentral describes it as "partial 16S-23S ribosomal RNA intergenic spacer". The stretch from base 67 to 140 matches the Rfam family "tRNA". The record is from RNAcentral.
AGAGUGGAUGCCAUUUUGGUAUCGCUGUCCUCGUAUCCCUUUCAUCUAAAUUUAUUCCAGAGUUACAGGCGCGUAGCUCAGUUGGUUAGAGCGCACGACUGAUAAUCGUGAGGUCGGCAGUUCAAAUCUGCCCGUGCCUACCACCGCUAGAGUUGGCGCUAUUUUCUGAUAUGCAUAUAGAUUUAGGUGUGAGUGACAUCUGUUUCACCAUGUAAUGGCUAAUAUGGGCGUUAUUUGGUGCGUUUUUUGACAAGGUAAGUGAAGACAUCCAAGACCGCGGGAUUUCUAUUGUUUCUUUUUGAAAUAUUAGAAUCCUGCAAAACUCAAGCUUGAGUUUGUACGAGACGAGGUAUUUAUCUAGGUGAUUGCCUUUACGUACGUACCAAUCAAGCGUCUUUAAGGGCAUUUGGUGGAUGCCUUGGC